GGCGUGCCUAAUACAUGCAAGUCGAGCGAACGGACGAGAAGCUUGCUUCUCUGAUGUUAGCGGCGGACGGGUGAGUAACACGUGGAUAACCUACCUAUAAGACUGGGAUAACUUCGGGAAACCGGAGCUAAUACCGGAUAAUAUUUUGAACCGCAUGGUUCAAAAGUGAAAGACGGUCUUGCUGUCACUUAUAGAUGGAUCCGCGCUGCAUUAGCUAGUUGGUAAGGUAACGGCUUACCAAGGCAACGAUGCAUAGCCGACCUGAGAGGGUGAUCGGCCACACUGGAACUGAGACACGGUCCAGACUCCUACGGGAGGCAGCAGUAGGGAAUCUUCCGCAAUGGGCGAAAGCCUGACGGAGCAACGCCGCGUGAGUGAUGAAGGUCUUCGGAUCGUAAAACUCUGUUAUUAGGGAAGAACAUAUGUGUAAGUAACUGUGCACAUCUUGACGGUACCUAAUCAGAAAGCCACGGCUAACUACGUGCCAGCAGCCGCGGUAAUACGUAGGUGGCAAGCGUUAUCCGGAAUUAUUGGGCGUAAAGCGCGCGUAGGCGGUUUUUUAAGUCUGAUGUGAAAGCCCACGGCUCAACCGUGGAGGGUCAUUGGAAACUGGAAAACUUGAGUGCAGAAGAGGAAAGUGGAAUUCCAUGUGUAGCGGUGAAAUGCGCAGAGAUAUGGAGGAACACCAGUGGCGAAGGCGACUUUCUGGUCUGUAACUGACGCUGAUGUGCGAAAGCGUGGGGAUCAAACAGGAUUAGA
RNAcentral lists this ribosomal RNA (759 nucleotides) under uncultured Staphylococcus sp. RNAcentral's name for it is "bacterial SSU rRNA". It matches the Rfam family "Bacterial small subunit ribosomal RNA", at positions 41 to 782 of the family's 1533-position model. Lineage: Bacteria; Bacillati; Bacillota; Bacilli; Caryophanales; Staphylococcaceae. The record is from RNAcentral.